RNAcentral lists this ribosomal RNA (550 nucleotides) under uncultured bacterium. Its description in RNAcentral is "bacterial SSU rRNA". It matches the Rfam family "Bacterial small subunit ribosomal RNA", at positions 355 to 896 of the family's 1533-position model. The record is from RNAcentral.
UAGGGAAUCUUCGGCAAUGGACGGAAGUCUGACCGAGCAACGCCGCGUGAGUGAAGAAGGUUUUCGGAUCGUAAAGCUCUGUUGUAAGAGAAGAACGAGUGUGAGAGUGGAAAGUUCACACUGUGACGGUAUCUUACCAGAAAGGGACGGCUAACUACGUGCCAGCAGCCGCGGUAAUACGUAGGUCCCGAGCGUUGUCCGGAUUUAUUGGGCGUAAAGCGAGCGCAGGCGGUUAGAUAAGUCUGAAGUUAAAGGCUGUGGCUUAACCAUAGUAGGCUUUGGAAACUGUUUAACUUGAGUGCAAGAGGGGAGAGUGGAAUUCCAUGUGUAGCGGUGAAAUGCGUAGAUAUAUGGAGGAACACCGGUGGCGAAAGCGGCUCUCUGGCUUGUAACUGACGCUGAGGCUCGAAAGCGUGGGGAGCAAACAGGAUUAGAUACCCUGGUAGUCCACGCUGUAAACGAUGAGUGCUGGGUGUUAGACCCUUUCCGGGGUUUAGUGCCGUAGCUAACGCAUUAAGCACUCCGCCUGGGGAGUACGACCGCAAGGUUG